AGAGUUGAUCCUGGCUUAGGAUUAACGCUGGCGGCAUGCCUAAUACAUGCAAGUCGAAUGGGUAGCUUGCUAUCCAUGGCGAACGGGUGAGUAACACGUAGGUAACCUGUCUUCAAGUCGAGGAUAACCUUUGGAAACGAAGGAUAAUACUGGAUAGGUCGUUAUAAAUCACAUGAUUAAACGAUUAAAGAUUAUAAUGUCACUUGAUGAGGGGCCUGCGGCGCAUUAGCUAGUUGGUGAGGUAAAGGCCCACCAAGGCGAUGAUGCGUAGCCGGACUGAGAGGUUGAACGGCCACAAUGGGACUGAGAACGGCCCAUACUCCUACGGGAGGCAGCAGUAGGGAAUUUUCGGCAAUGGGCGCAAAGCCUGACCGAGCAAUGCCGCGUGAAAGAAGAAGUAUUUCGGUAUGUAAAUUUCUUUUAUUUGGGACGAAAAAACAAAUUGACGGUACCAAAUGAAUAAGCUCCGGCUAACUACGUGCCAGCCGCCGC
RNAcentral lists this ribosomal RNA (492 nucleotides) under uncultured bacterium. RNAcentral describes it as "bacterial SSU rRNA". It matches the Rfam family "Bacterial small subunit ribosomal RNA", at positions 8 to 518 of the family's 1533-position model. The record is from RNAcentral.